Molecule: long non-coding RNA, 203 nt
Filed under: Lathyrus oleraceus (garden pea)
Lineage: Eukaryota; Viridiplantae; Streptophyta; Magnoliopsida; Fabales; Fabaceae
Description: Pisum sativum (pea) long non-coding RNA (PSAT_LNC036140)
Source: RNAcentral
UCUUUCACCGUUUCCGAAACCCGCAAUACGUGAAACAAAUUACACAAAGGUUAUUCGUUAUCGAUUGCAUACCCAAGACAAAUUUUUUCAUCUUUAGCAUGUGAGUAACAAUGGGCUCGGCAAAUUUAUCACCAUCUUCUUCUGGCCAUAUUGAUAUGUCAAUCUCAGGUUUGGUUUUUUCUUAUAAUCAGUGUUUUAGCAUU